CAUGUCUUUUUGUUUAUAAUUUAAGGUUUAAUCUGCUCAAUGAAUGUUUAAAUUGCCGCAGUAUUUUGACUGUGCAAAGGUAGCAUAAUAAUUAGUUUUUUUAUUGGAAGCUGGAAUGAAUGAUUGGACGAGAAAGUUACUGUCUCUUUGUUAUUUUUUUUUGAAUUUUACUUUUAAGUAAAAAGGCUUAAAUAAUUUUAAAAGACGAGAAGACCCUAUAGAGUUUAAUUUUUUAAUAUUAUUAUUGUUUAAUAGAAUUUUAUUAUUUUAUUUUAUUAAAAAAUUUUGUUGGGGUGACUGGAAGAUUAAUUAAACUCUUCUAAUUUUUAUCAUAGAUUUAUGAAUUGUUAAUCUAUAUUUUAUAAUUAUAAGUUAAAUUACCUUAGGGAUAACAGCGUAAUUUUUUUAUAAAGUUCUUAUUUAUAAAUAAGUUUGCGACCUCGAUGUUGGAUUAAAAAUUGAUUUGGGUGAAGAAGUUCAAAUUUCUAAGUCUGUUCGACUUUUAAAAUUUUACAUGAUCUGAGU
RNAcentral lists this ribosomal RNA (525 nucleotides) under Lampyridae sp. UPOL RK0095. RNAcentral's name for it is "partial 16S ribosomal RNA". The stretch from base 388 to 525 matches the Rfam family "Archaeal large subunit ribosomal RNA", at positions 2542 to 2679 of the family's 2987-position model. The record is from RNAcentral. Lineage: Eukaryota; Metazoa; Arthropoda; Insecta; Coleoptera; Lampyridae.